UGCAAGUCGAGGGGCAGCAUCAUCAAAGCCUGCUUUGAUGGAUGGCGACCGGCGCACGGGUGAGUAACACGUAUCCAACCUGCCGACAACACUGGGAUAGCCUUUCGAAAGAAAGAUUAAUACCGGAUGGCAUAAUUAUUCCGCAUGGGAUGAUUAUUAAAGAAUUUCGGUUGUCGAUGGGGAUGCGUUCCAUUAGGCAGUUGGCGGGGUAACGGCCCACCAAACCUACGAUGGAUAGGGGUUCUGAGAGGAAGGUCCCCCACAUUGGAACUGAGACACGGUCCAAACUCCUACGGGAGGCAGCAGUGAGGAAUAUUGGUCAAUGGACGAGAGUCUGAACCAGCCAAGUAGCGUGAAGGAUGACUGCCCUAUGGGUUGUAAACUUCUUUUAUACGGGAAUAAAGUUAGCCACGUGUGGCUUUUUGUAUGUACCGUAUGAAUAAGGAUCGGCUAACUCCGUGCCAGCAGCCGCGGUAAUACGGAGGAUCCGAGCGUUAUCCGGAUUUAUUGGGUUUAAAGGGAGCGUAGGCGGGUUGUUAAGUCAGUUGUGAAAGUUUGCGGCUCAACCGUAAAAUUGCAGUUGAUACUGGCGACCUUGAGUGCAACAGAGGUAGGCGGAAUUCGUGGUGUAGCGGUGAAAUGCUUAGAUAUCACGAAGAACUCCGAUUGCGAAGGCAGCUUACUGGAUUGUAACUGACGCUGAUGCUCGAAAGUGUGGGUAUCAAACAGGAUUAGAUACCCUGGUAGUCCACACAGUAAACGAUGAAUACUCGCUGUUGGCGAUAUACGGUCAGCGGCCAAGCGAAAGCAUUAAGUAUUCCACCUGGGGAGUACGCCGGC
Molecule: ribosomal RNA, 840 nt
Filed under: uncultured bacterium
Lineage: Bacteria
Description: bacterial SSU rRNA
Rfam family: Bacterial small subunit ribosomal RNA
Source: RNAcentral